AGCGAACGCUGGCGGCAGGCUUAACACAUGCAAGUCGAGCGGGCCUUUCGGGGUCAGCGGCGGACGGGUGAGUAACGCGUGGGAACGUGCCCUCUGGUUCGGAAUAACUCAGGGAAACUUGAGCUAAUACCGGAUACGCCCUUUUGGGGAAAGGCUUGCUGCCGGAGGAUCGGCCCGCGUCUGAUUAGCUAGUUGGUGAGGUAACGGCUCACCAAGGAGACGAUCAGUAGCUGGUCUGAGAGGAUGAUCAGCCACACUGGGACUGAGACACGGCCCAGACUCCUACGGGAGGCAGCAGUGGGGAAUAUUGGACAAUGGGCGCAAGCCUGAUCCAGCCAUGCCGCGUGAGUGAUGAAGGCCUUAGGGUUGUAAAGCUCUUUUAUCCGGGACGAUAAUGACGGUACCGGAGGAAUAAGCCCCGGCUAACUUCGUG
RNAcentral lists this ribosomal RNA (433 nucleotides) under uncultured bacterium. RNAcentral's name for it is "partial 16S ribosomal RNA". It matches the Rfam family "Bacterial small subunit ribosomal RNA", at positions 29 to 507 of the family's 1533-position model. The record is from RNAcentral.